AAAGGACAAAACAGUUCUCAACUAAAAUUUGGUGGUUCAGCAUAUCUGAUGCAACAGUAGAAACUGAGUUGCUGGAAGUAGGAACAAAUGCUGAGGUAAAGAUUUGCAAGAUAAGAACAACAAUGGAUUUAGGCUCCAAAAUAACAAAGAAAACUUCAAAUAGCAACAAAAGUACAGAAGCAAAAAUAAUCCCAGAAGUCAGAACUAAAUAACAGUUCAUAAAAGAUAAGAAGAGAA
RNAcentral lists this unclassified non-coding RNA (237 nucleotides) under Hevea brasiliensis (rubber tree). Lineage: Eukaryota; Viridiplantae; Streptophyta; Magnoliopsida; Malpighiales; Euphorbiaceae. The record is from RNAcentral.